This 104-nucleotide small nucleolar RNA is filed under the name Millerozyma farinosa CBS 7064. RNAcentral's name for it is "Piso0_001993". The record is from RNAcentral. Lineage: Eukaryota; Fungi; Ascomycota; Pichiomycetes; Serinales; Debaryomycetaceae.
CAUCGUGAUGAAUAAAACGGAUGUGAACAAUCUCUGAGUAUAUUCGAACGAAUAUACGUAGAUUAUAAACCCUGCCUUCCUACUGAAAGUGUUUGAAUUCUUUU